UACGGAGGGAGCUAGCGUUGUUCGGAAAUACUGGGCAUAAAGCGCACGUAGGCGGCGCGGUAAGUCAGGGGUGAAAUCCCGGGGCUCAACCCCGGAACUGCCCUUGAAACUGCAGUGCUAGAAUCUUGGAGAGGUCAGUGGAAUUCCGAGUGUAGAGGUGAAAUUCGUAGAUAUUCGGAAGAGCACCAGUGGCGAAGGCGACUGACUGGACAAGUAUUGACGCUGAGGUGCGAAAGCGUGGGGAGCAAACAGG
Molecule: ribosomal RNA, 253 nt
Filed under: uncultured bacterium
Lineage: Bacteria
Description: partial 16S ribosomal RNA
Rfam family: Bacterial small subunit ribosomal RNA
Source: RNAcentral